UAUCACUCCUUUGUCCCCACUGACCAGCCUGUCCUCCGCGUGCCGCUGCCAGCCCUGGUUUCUCGGAUAUCAGCGAGUUGAAACAUCUCGAAGACAAGCCACAGAUGCUCUCUCUGGACCUUCCAUCACAUUUCAGAGGAAAACAAGGCAAAACAAAACAAAUAGCCAGGGACUUCUGCAACUUUGCGCAUGGAACCAUUUUGGCGAGGGGGAUUUUCUGCAAUCGUUGGGAAUUCUUUGCCAAGCUCGAAAAACCCAAGCUACAAAUCA
Long non-coding RNA from Choloepus didactylus (southern two-toed sloth), 270 nucleotides. RefSeq lists it as uncharacterized. The transcript has 2 exons. The record is from RefSeq and is a predicted model, not a curated record. NCBI's taxonomy places the organism in Eukaryota, Metazoa, Chordata, Mammalia, Pilosa, Megalonychidae.